AAUUGUUAGGUUUCAGUCAGCCAAAUUAUAGUGGAAAGGUCACUACUGGUUGGCCUUGCUCUCUUUUCUAAGUACAUGAAUAACAAAUCAAAGAAUAUCUAUGGCCAACUUUUGGAUAAGAGCUUUGCUUGCUUGUGAUACUUGACAAAUAUAACGCUAAUGUCAAGAUUACAGAGGCUCCACCCAAUCACCAGAUAUUUUUUUGUUCCGAAAAGUGGCAGGUCGAUGGCUUGAUUUCCGGCAGGGGGUGUGUUCAAAGGUCUUACAAAAUUACCGAAAAGGAAGUCCUAAGUUAUGCGGUAUUGGCAAGGUCAUCAAAGCAAACCUCUUGAGUCUUAAGAUUCAGAAGAAUAUGCAGACGUCAGAAGAGCUGUCACCAUUGCACCACAAAGACACGGGAGGAACAUUUGUCUAUUCUAGUUGGGCACAGCUUUCCGAAGAAAAUGGCACAGGAAUCCGUCAAGUUGAUAUUCUUUGAACUUGAAAACUACGGUGGAAAGUGCGUGGUAUGGCCUUAGCAAUUUAAAUGCUUUUUUUUUCGUUAUCAGCUGUUUAAAUUUUAACCUUUAGAAAAUGAUCCUUGUGGUAAUAUUUA
This 595-nucleotide long non-coding RNA is filed under the name Pocillopora damicornis (cauliflower coral). Its description in RNAcentral is "uncharacterized LOC113667628, transcript variant X2". Lineage: Eukaryota; Metazoa; Cnidaria; Anthozoa; Scleractinia; Pocilloporidae. The record is from RNAcentral.